GAUGAAGAACGUAGCGAAAUGCGAUAAGUAAUGUGAAUUGCAGAAUUCAGUGAAUCAUCGAAUCUUUGAACGCACAUUGCGCCCGCCAGCAUUCUGGCGGGCAUGCCUGUUCGAGCGUCAUUUCAACCCUCGAGCCCCCCCGGGGGCCUCGGUGUUGGGGGACGGCACACCAGCCGCCCCCGAAAUGCAGUGGCGACCCCGCCGCAGCCUCCCCUGCGUAGUAGCACACACCUCGCACCGGAGCGCGGAGGCGGUCACGCCGUAAAACGCCCAACUUUCUUAGAGUUGACCUCGGAUCAGGUAGCAAUACCCGCUGAACUUAAGCAUAUCAAUAAGCGGAGGA
This 343-nucleotide unclassified non-coding RNA is filed under the name soil metagenome. RNAcentral describes it as "partial contains 5.8S ribosomal RNA, internal transcribed spacer 2, and large subunit ribosomal RNA". The stretch from base 1 to 120 matches the Rfam family "5.8S ribosomal RNA", at positions 35 to 154 of the family's 154-position model. The record is from RNAcentral.